RNAcentral lists this transfer RNA (76 nucleotides) under Bdellovibrionales bacterium RIFOXYD1_FULL_53_11. RNAcentral's name for it is "tRNA-Lys". It matches the Rfam family "tRNA". Rfam says of the family: Transfer RNA (tRNA) molecules are approximately 80 nucleotides in length. Lineage: Bacteria; Pseudomonadati; Bdellovibrionota; Bdellovibrionia; Bdellovibrionales. The record is from RNAcentral.
GAGCCAUUAGCUCAGUCGGUAGAGCAUCACACUUUUAAUGUGAGGGUCGACAGUUCGAAUCUGUCAUGGCUCACCA